RNAcentral lists this ribosomal RNA (225 nucleotides) under uncultured bacterium. RNAcentral's name for it is "partial 16S ribosomal RNA". It matches the Rfam family "Bacterial small subunit ribosomal RNA", at positions 15 to 219 of the family's 1533-position model. The record is from RNAcentral.
GAUCAUGGCUCAGGAUGAACGCUGGCGGCGUGCUUAACACAUGCAAGUCGAGCGAAGCACUCUGCUUUGAUUCUUUUCGGGAUGAAGAGCAUUGUGACUGAGCGGCGGACGGGUGAGUAACGCGUGGGUAACCUGCCUCAUACAGGGGGAUAACAGUUAGAAAUGGCUGCUAAUACCGCAUAAGACCACAGCACCGCAUGGUGCAGGGGUAAAAACUCCGGUGGU